This 468-nucleotide ribosomal RNA is filed under the name uncultured bacterium. RNAcentral's name for it is "partial 16S ribosomal RNA". It matches the Rfam family "Bacterial small subunit ribosomal RNA", at positions 28 to 507 of the family's 1533-position model. The record is from RNAcentral.
GACGAACGCUGGCGGCGUGCUUAACACAUGCAAGUCGAACGGAAAGGCCCUGCUUUUGUGUGGUUCUCGAGUGGCGAACGGGUGAGUAACACGUGAGUAACCUUCCCUUGACUUUGGGAUAACUUCAGGAAACUGGGGCUAAUACCGGAUAGGAGCUCCUGCUGCAUGGUGGGGGUUGGAAAUUUUAGGCGGUUGGGGAUGGACUGGCGGCUUAUCAGCCUGUUGGUGGGGUAGUGGCUUACCAAGGCUUUGACGGGUAGCCGGCCUGAGAGGGUGACCGGCCACAUUGGGACUGCGAUAGGGCCCAGACUCCUACGGGAGGCAGCAGGGGGGAAUAUUGCACAAUGGGCGGAAGUCUGAUGCAGCAACGCCGCGUGCGGGAUGCCGGCCUUCGGGUGGUAAACCGCUUUAGCCUGUGACGAAGCGUGAGUGACGGUAAUGGGUAAAGAAGCACCGGCUAACUACGUG